GGCCCUGUCGUCAAGCGGUUAAGACACAGCCCUCUCAAGGCUGGUUCCCCAGUUCGAAUCUGGGCAGGGUCACCA
This 75-nucleotide transfer RNA is filed under the name Tenericutes bacterium ADurb.BinA155. RNAcentral describes it as "tRNA-Glu". It matches the Rfam family "tRNA". Rfam says of the family: Transfer RNA (tRNA) molecules are approximately 80 nucleotides in length. Lineage: Bacteria; Bacillati; Mycoplasmatota. The record is from RNAcentral.